GCCAUAGAUGGCUGCAUUUCUCCAUCUAGCGUGGAGAUCAUGGACGUUGGGGGCAUCCCCCCAAAACUGAUUAUGAUCCACCCUGAUCUCCAUCCUAGACCAGGAAAGCGCCUGCCUUCUCUGGGCCCUGGCAGGCUCCUGGGAGCUGGCAGACUGUUCCUGGGGUGCAGUGGAGAGAUGUGAGCCAUUUUGCUGUUUUACUAAAGUCUCUCUGAAGAAGAUAACAAUUACAGUCAGAGUUGCUGUAAGUAGAUGUAAUUAUGUGUUCGUUUGUUUUCAAGGAUUUUGUAACUGACAAACAUUGCCUGGUCUUAAUAAGGAGUACAGCAAAAAGAACAAAGAAGUUGCACAGCUUCCCUUCCAGACUACCUCAGCUUCCUCCCCCAUACGUAUCACAAGAAGAAGUCAUGAGGCUCAUUUCAUCAGCUUCAAACUAAUUGUUGCAGCUACUUGUGAAAUCUCUUCAGAGGGAAUGAAGAAGCCAGACUGUGCCUCACACCAGAAAAGGAAAGAAGCUAAACAUAUUCAAAGAUUGGACUGUUGUGACAAGCAGCAUACACCUCCCCUUGUGAUCUCUGCAGAUCCCCAGGAAUAUGAAGAUAAGAGGCCCUGUGUUUUACAUUGUGACGGGCCGCCAACGGCCUGCAUGCCGGCCGGCCAGAAAGGGGGCGUGGGGAGACGCGCAGGGAGCCUGAGGGGCACAGCACUGCCACCAACCUGGAGCACAGUGGAGACCCUUCUCCCCGCUGGGGCAGCACCAAUGCCGUGAGCCUGGCCCCUGGCCGGACCGAGCAGAAGUGGCAGGCGGCUGCCCAGAAGUGAUGGGGGAAGACCCCGCAUCACGGAGUGGGCAGGGCUGCCAGUCAGCGUUGUGGCCAGCGGGCCGUCUCAAAAAGCCCUGCCAGCAUCAGAGACUGGGGAUGGCAGGGUGUCCCCGGAGGGAGAGCGGUGAGUCCCAAGCGAGGAACGUCGCCGGCGAGAGAGACCCCAGGAGAGGCGCUGGAGGACAGAGUGAGUGCCUGGCCCCUGGAACCGCAGUAGGCACUGGGGAGCUGGAGGUGCCACCCAGGGAUCAGUAUGGGGAAGGAAGCAGCCCGAGGCAGGGUACUUGUGGUGCCCAUGGGCUGACACGUUUCGGGAAUGCACCCCGUCAGCCAUGCAGAGAGCCCUGGGCUGGGACCCGGUGGAGAGGGAUGGCCCAGGUCUCCCUUCACACCCAUCCCUGCGAAGAGUGGACCAGGCGAAACCUGGGAGGGAGUACGAGGAUCUCAGGCAACUGGGGUAUGGAACCCCAGAACGGACUGCUGUAAGGGGGAUAAGUGGCAGUUGGGCUCACAGGGUCCCGGACCCGGACGGAGUGCUCGUGCCCAGGGGACUGCCACAGACAUACCUUAGUAUUUUAGUAGUAAAUGUCCACAUUUUCAUUUCUUUUAAAAAUGGUGAUCACUGGCUUGAUUCUGCUUUCAUUUUGAGCAAUCAACUUCCUUGAAACUAUGCCUGUUUACACUAGAUAAAGAGAGGAGAAGCAGGCUACGUAACAUUAAAUACAUGAUAUUAAACAUGUUAUACUUAGUAUAGGACCUAUCCAUAUGUGCUACAAAGCUGCGCAUGCCUGAUGUGAUCUCAUAUGCUGCCUGAGUGGGUAUAUUUAUAUAGCUUUUAGGAUGUACAGAAAUCAUUGGGAUUAUUAAAUUAUUCACUGAAUCAGGACAUUUAUUACCGGGGGAUCUUUCCCAUGAUGUAAGUUUAUCCCUCACUGUCCAAAUGGCCAUUUACUGAAAUACUGUCAGGUCCCCAAAUUAUUUGGCUAAAUUGUAUUUGUAUGCAGUUUGUGAUGUGUGUCAUCUAACCUGAGUCCUAUUUAGAAUUCACGCUCUUUUCUCUUUGACAGUGGCAGAGAAAUAUUUGAUCUGGCCUGAUCAAUUCGCAAUCACUACUUUUCAUCCUACUGUAAUUCCUAGUUAUAGUUAGAAACUGAAGUCAGUCUAGUCUGAUUACAUAAAAAUAAAAUCAUUAUAAUUAAAUGAGCUUUUGAUUUUAGGAAAACAAUUUUCUUAAUGGAAAGCGAAGAACCAAACUUGCCCUCCCAAACUCAAGGGAAGUUACUGUUCCUAUCUAGACACUGAGAAAUAAUUAACAGGCCAAAUUGCUUAUUUUUGUUAUGCUGUGUAUUACAGCUACCAUGCAGUGCAGUACAAGUUAGAAAACCUAAUAAUAGAAAGUCUUAUAUGUAAUGACUUUUCUGCCCUAAUAAAGGCAUUGACAGUCAAUGUAUAGUAAUAUAUAAGGAGAAGACUGUCUGAUAGUGAGAAUAGGCACAUAAGAAAAGACUGGAAAAAUAAUGAGCAAGGCUAUAAAUCUCAUUACGUACUGACAAGUCGUCUUGAUUUUAUUUUGAAGUAGUUAUUUUAUACUUCUCAUAGCACUGAUGUUUUCUGUUUUAAAAGUACACAGGAAACUAACACAUUAAAAGAAUCAAGUGCUAAUUUUAUCCAAGAAGAUUCAAGGAAUUAUUAUGGAAAAAGUAAGUUGCAUUCUUAAUAUACUUUUAAAUCCUUUUUACCAUGUCUUAUCAGACUAACCAAGUAAGCCAUUUGUAAAUGCACAGCCGACUCCUGGAUUUUUUUCAGGACUAAGUUAUUGUGGCGGUUGGUCUUAAAAGGAUGGUACAGUACUGAAAUUGUUUCUAAACACAACUGCAUGUUUGCAAAUGAUUAAGUUUUCCAGGUGUUCUUUUUAUACCUUUACUGAUAAAAGAAUAACAUUGUAGGUACAGUGUUCUCAGAUAAACAGCAGAGGAAGAGAAACUGUCUUUUUUAUUUUGGAAUGUGUCUACACAGCAACUGGGAGCAUGCUUCCAACUGUGGAUAAACACACAGUCUCUGCUUGAGCUAGUGCACUACAAAAUGGCAGUGAAGCCAUGGUGGCAUGGGCAGCAACUUGGGUUAGCCAUUGAAGUACAACCCUGCCCAGCCUCCUGGGUACAUAUUCAGGUAUCUAGCUCUAGUUGUUGUUUAUACUGCUGUGACCACACUGCUAUUUUUAGAAUGCUUCCUUCACCAGAGUCAGUGUGUCUUACUAUUUCUGUAAAUGUCACCCAUGGACCACUAGUGGCAUGCGACAGUCUUGCAGGUGGUCCAUGAGUUCGUCCUGUGCAGCAGGGAGCCCGCACUGGCGUUCCAGCUCCUCCUCCCCAAGGUUAGUGCCAGCACGGGCUCUCUACUCAAGGAGGGGAGGGGGAAUCCUCAGCCUCACAGGGCAGAUCUAGCUCGCAGGCAGAAAGGGCUCCCCGCACUCCUGCUCCCCCCACCCAGCUAGGGGAAUAGCAGUGCAGGAAACAGCUCACUGGGAGGCUUUUCCUGCUGCUGCCAUUGGCCAGGAUUCUGGCCAAUUGUAACAGCAGAGAGCAGUGCCUGGGGGUGCAGAGGCAGGCCAGCCCCCCCAUCUCCCUCAUACCUAGAUGCCACACACUUCAUAUACCUCUCCUCCCACAAACCCCACAUCCCCAUUUGCUCCUACAUUCUCCCUUCUGACCAGACCA
Molecule: non-coding RNA, 3541 nt
Organism: Pelodiscus sinensis (Chinese soft-shelled turtle)
Lineage: Eukaryota; Metazoa; Chordata; Testudines; Trionychidae
Source: RefSeq, a predicted model, not a curated record